Ricinus communis (castor bean) is the source of this 2644-nucleotide long non-coding RNA. RefSeq lists it as uncharacterized. NCBI's taxonomy places the organism in Eukaryota, Viridiplantae, Streptophyta, Magnoliopsida, Malpighiales, Euphorbiaceae. The record is from RefSeq and is a predicted model, not a curated record. The transcript has 3 exons.
GUGGUCGCUAACCUUAUAAGUAAUAUCGAUAAUAAUCCCUCCUCUCUUCUCCAAUUGCAAAUUAACUCAAAACACCAAAAUCUCUAGAUCCCAAAUUCUUAUCUACAGAUGAUUGGUAGCUCCACCACCCUCCGCCAAGGUCUGUCGUGCAACGUCAUCUCUCUCUCUCUUCAAAGUUUUGGAGUUGGAGUACCGAAAUUGCAGUAAAUUGGCUUAGACAGAAACCUAGUCCAUCCGGCUGUUCGUCCUAAAUUAGCCCCAUUUCGUGAAUUUUGAUUCCCUUUGAUGAUUUUUCCCAAUUUUGGUUUAUUUUACUUUUUUAAGUUUAUUAAUUAUAGGAAGGGUUGUAAUAAUUAGUUUUACUACUUUUCUUUAUUUUAUUUUUUAUUUUAUUUUAUGUUUGGUGGAUGGUUGACAAAUACCUGUUGAAUGAUUGUAAAUUAAAUCGGACACCUAGACUUAGGCUCUAAAAAUUGGGCUUUGCAAUGUAGUUUGUAGUCCAUUAGGUUAACAUAUUAUAAAUUGGGCUUUAAGUUAAAAUAUAUUUAAACUUAGUAGGCUUUACCAUGUUUAGUUAAUUAAAUCAACUCGUUUAAAAUAGGAUAACUGAAUUGGGCAUUGUCAUGCAAUUGGUAGUCCAUUUAGGAUAAUAACUUGGUAAUUAAAGCAUAACUUGUAAUUGGGCUAGAUUAGGCGGGCUUCCUUGUGCAUAAUUGAGUAGUUAACUUAUGAUUAACAAUAUAAAUUGGAAUUAGAAGUAACUAAAAUGGACUAGAUUUAGCGGACCUCACAUAUUGUAAUGCUUGAUAUAUACAAUUAUUAUAAUGUAUUUAUAGGGAAUAGUCCAUUACAUAAUAAAAUUAAAAAUAAGAAUAUACAAAUAAGGAAGUUGGCUUCCGGAUCCAUCUCUUGAUGUGGCAAAACUUUCUUAUGGAAUUUAGUACGCAACUCAAUUAUUAAAAUCAUUCUGGAGAAUUACCCAGGUGGUGACUUUCUUUCUUCGCGCUAGUCUCAAUGACUAGUUAGCAUGUUCCUAAUUAUGUUGAAAAGUUUUGUAGUGUCAUAGUCGCUAGAGACAUUAAGGUGCGUGCCCGAAAUCGCCACCCACAGGUGGGCCUUGAAAAGUCGUGCUCACAAGUACCAUGAGGAAAGCCUUGAUGAGUGCGUAACAGAGACGUCUUAUGAUGAAGACAAAAAACCAGUGCCCCUGUCCUGAGAAGAGGAAGAGAGAAUAUUUUUAGAGACAGUUCAGACUCUAUUAUAUAGUAGAUAUGUAUAUAGGAUAGGUAAGAAUAAGAUGUCUAUGUAUCACUUUAAAGCCUCGUCCUCCACAGCUAUGCUAGUGGGAUUGACAACCAACAUCUUUGAGAUCCUAAAGACACUACUUUCAGUUGGUAUAACAAUUACAGGAGAAAGAUGAGUGUAUCCAUGUGUUAGAGACCACUUUUAAGGACUGAGUGUGCUAGUUGGUAAAGAGAUGAUAAAUAACACUCAACAAUAUGUAUCAAGAUCUACCUUUUGGCGAGUCGUGAGUUCUACUAUUUCCUAACUACAUUUUGACUUUGUGAUCUGGGAGGGUAAGUAGCCCCAUUGGUACUAAAACUAUGCGUCAUAGAAAUUGGUACCAAAGUUUUAAUUUUUUUUCUUUUCAGUACCUCAACUUCAAUUUUCGUUACAGAGUAAGGUACGCAUUAAGGAUCCGGCUAAUUUUUACUGAGCUGAAUGGUAGAGCUCCGCAUCACCAACUUUGUAAUUGAUCCAGUCAGACUUAAGUUGACAGUUAAGCUCCUCUUUCCACAUAAGCUCCCCAUCCCUAUAAUUGAUUCCAAAUGUGUAAUAAAACCCCAAUUUCAAUAGUUAAAAUCCCUAAAAUCGAUUUUACUCCAAACUCUAUUUACCUCACAAUCAUUGCCCUAGACUAGAAAAGUUCAGUUGUUGACGAAGCUCAUGGAAGACGAAGAACUUGGUGAUGCUUGUAGCGUCCUUAAUAUUGAAGAGUUUGCAUUUAGAGGAGAGGUAUCGCAUUGUGGAUGUGGAAUCCCAAUAAAGCUUUAUGUGUCAAGGACUGUAAGGAACCUAGAUCAAAAAUUCUAGGGAUGCACUCAUCAGAUAAGUAAUGAUUUAGUUCUUGCUACCUUUUUUAUGGUUAGUGGUGAGUAAUCAAUGUGGAAGAAGCUUCAGUGUUAGUGAUGAGUGAUUUAUGUGUUUGUUUAUCUAGGAGGACACUAUGAGUUCUUUAAGUGGCAUGAUGAAUGGGUGAAUGAUAGGACAAAAUUAAAAAAUAUUUCCCUUUAAUGCUUGGGGAGCUUAGGAAGUUAAAUGCCAAUAUGGAAGCUUUUCAAUAUCAGAGUAAGGAAGAAGUUAUUACAGCUUUGAAUAUGGAACGUAAGAGAGAAAUUGUCGAACUACAAAUGAAGGUUAAGAAAAUAAUGAAGGAAUUAGCAUCUAUGAAGUGCAGUAGAAUCUGUAUAAGAUAGGAUUUUAUGUUUUGGUUGGAGUGAUUGUGUGCAAGAUGUAUAUGAGUUAGGGGUAGGGUACCAAUGCUAGUAGCCUUUUGACAUUGUACUGAUUUUGAUAUGUAAUGUUAUCUUGGCAGGAAAGUAUUGUACUAAGCAUUUUGGUUAUGUUAAAGGGAGCAAACUAU